Molecule: ribosomal RNA, 429 nt
Filed under: uncultured bacterium
Lineage: Bacteria
Description: bacterial SSU rRNA
Rfam family: Bacterial small subunit ribosomal RNA
Source: RNAcentral
UAGGGAAUAUUGGACAAUGGGGGCAACCCUGAUCCAGCCAUGCCGCGUGUGUGAAGAAGGCUUUCGGGUUGUAAAGCACUUUCAGUAGUGAAGAAGGCUGUACGGUUAAUACCCGUGCAGAUUGACAUUAGCUACAGAAGCAGCACCGGCUAACUCCGUGCCAGCAGCCGCGGUAAUACGGAGGGUGCAAGCGUUAAUCGGAAUUACUGGGCGUAAAGCGCGCGUAGGCGGUUUGGUAAGUCGGAUGUGAAAUCCCCGGGCUCAACCUGGGAACUGCAUCCGAUACUGCCAGGCUAGAGUACGGUAGAGGGGGGUAGAAUUCCACGUGUAGCGGUGAAAUGCGUAGAGAUGUGGAGGAAUACCAGUGGCGAAGGCGGCCCCCUGGAUCGAUACUGACGCUGAGGUGCGAAAGCGUGGGGAGCAAACAGG